UACGAAGGGGGCUAGCGUUGUUCGGAAUUACUGGGCGUAAAGCGCACGUAGGCGGACUUUUAAGUCAGGGGUGAAAUCCCGGGGCUCAACCCCGGAACUGCCUUUGAUACUGCAAGUCUGGAGGUCGAGAGAGGUGAGUGGAAUUCCGAGUGUAGAGGUGAAAUUCGUAGAGAUUCGGAGGAACACCAGUGGCGAAGGCGGCUCACUGGCUCGAUACUGACGCUGAGGUGCGAAAGAGUGGGGAGCAAACAGG
This 253-nucleotide ribosomal RNA is filed under the name uncultured bacterium. Its description in RNAcentral is "partial 16S ribosomal RNA". It matches the Rfam family "Bacterial small subunit ribosomal RNA", at positions 524 to 776 of the family's 1533-position model. The record is from RNAcentral.